CCUACGGGAGGCUGCAGUGGGGAAUAUUGCACAAUGGGCGCAAGCCUGAUGCAGCCAUGCCGCGUGUGUGAAGAAGGCCUUCGGGUUGUAAAGCACUUUCAGCGGGGAGGAAGGCGGUGAGGUUAAUAACCUCAUCGAUUGACGUUACCCGCAGAAGAAGCACCGGCUAACUCCGUGCCAGCGGCCGCGGUAAUACGGAGGGUGCAAGCGUUAAUCGGAAUUACUGGGCGUAAAGCGCACGCAGGCGGUCUGUCAAGUCGGAUGUGAAAUCCCCGGGCUCAACCUGGGAACUGCAUUCGAAACUGGCAGGCUAGAGUCUUGUAGAGGGGGGUAGAAUUCCAGGUGUAGCGGUGAAAUGCGUAGAGAUCUGGAGGAAUACCGGUGGCGAAGGCGGCCCCCUGGACAAAGACUGACGCUCAGGUGCGAAAGCGUGGGGAGCAAACAGGAUUAGAUACCCCUGUAGUC
RNAcentral lists this ribosomal RNA (465 nucleotides) under uncultured Klebsiella sp. RNAcentral's name for it is "bacterial SSU rRNA". It matches the Rfam family "Bacterial small subunit ribosomal RNA", at positions 338 to 795 of the family's 1533-position model. Lineage: Bacteria; Pseudomonadati; Pseudomonadota; Gammaproteobacteria; Enterobacterales; Enterobacteriaceae. The record is from RNAcentral.